ACGACACGACCGUGCAACCGAUGCGGCUGCUCAGAGCGCGGUCUCUUGUGUAUCGUCCGUCCCCACCGUGCACGUUUCCAGUCUUGAGGCAGCCGCCGUGCGAUACACAUGAGUGUGCCAUCAUUUCCUCCCGGACACUGAGGAGUCUGACAAAAAGUCCCCCUAAAAAAGAAACAAAAAAACGGUGGUGUUGAAGAAAGAACGAAAGAAGAACGAACGAAGGGAAAAAACAAAGGGACCCCACGGGAUAAGAGUAGGAAAAAACGAGCAAGAAGAGCAUCUGGGGUUGCCUCUGUGUGUUGUAGAACGAUCCAUUUGUGCGUGAGAAACUUCCCUCCUCCUGACCCUCCUUUAAUAAUCUGCACACAUUGAACAUACCGGCGGGGACGCCAUUUUUUCCCGCGUGCAGCCGGCUUUUUUUGUGUGCGUUGUACGUAACAUAUUGCUGCUCACUGUUGGGCCCCUUCAAGGGACUAACGCAUCCGUGAACGGUGGUGCAGUGCGGUGCAGUUUUUUCUUGGGCGCGACACAGUUGCGUGCGUGAAGCAUUUACAAAGCUAUAGGCAGGCAGGCAGCGAGAGAGCAAAAGAGCUCUGAUUGAGUGCAAACACACUGCGAAGGAGGAGAAGGUGGACAAAGUGUUGGUGUGGCGAAGAUGCUUGAAAUGUCAUCGCUUUUUGGUGAUUUGAGUGAUGGUGUGGUGGAUACAUCGAGUAAUCUUGAGGAUCAGAGAGCCCUGCAGUUGGCCUUUGAACUCUCAAUGCUGGGGCUAUCGGAAUCCUUUGCAGCAGCCCCCGAUAGCACAACUAUACCCCAGGCAUCACCGUCACCGCCUGCAAAUGCCUUUGCGGCUGCCUUCCAACUUCCGCCGCCAGGACUCGAUGAGCGCUUCAAGAAGUCUCAGAAUAUGACUGAAUGUGUCCCUGUACCAAGUUCUGAGCACGUGGCGGAAAUUGUGGGAAGACAAGGAUGCAAAAUUAAGGCAUUACGCGCCAAAACGAAUACGUACAUUAAGACCCCGGUGCGCGGGGAGGAGCCCGUAUUUGUGGUGACGGGACGCAAGGAGGACGUUGCCAAGGCGAAGCGUGAAAUUCUCUCGGCGGCGGAACAUUUCAGCCUCAUUAGGGCAUCGCGAAAGCCCACAAUUGUCGGUGGGGCAAAGGCGCCCCUUGGGCCAGCUAUCAACAUCCCCGGGCACGUAACAAUCCAGGUGAGAGUCCCCUAUCGCGUUGUGGGUCUCGUGGUGGGUCCUAAAGGUGCCACAAUUAAGCACAUUCAGCAGCAAACGCACACGUACAUUGUCACCCCGUCGCGUGACAAGGAGCCCGUGUUUGAGGUCACGGGCCUCCCGGAUAGUGUUCAGGCGGCACGGCAUCAAAUUGAGGCACACAUUGCCCUGCGCACGGGUCAGACGAGCGGUAGUCUGAGUGGUCUGGGGCAACUUCUUGGCGACGAUACGGCAUCUCCGGAGCUUCUGGCGUCGCUGUACAAGAAUGGUUUGGGCUCACUGUUUGGGUAUCUCGACGGGCAGGGUCAGACAGUGGAUACGAGCACGUCGAAUUCAUCAGCAGCCUCAACAGCGAGCUCCAAGAGUGGCCAAAUGACACGACCUGAGCUCAUAAAUAUCUGGAAGAAUCUCUCAAGCGGGGAGAGUAUUGACUUCGAUGAGGGUCUCGGGGAAUCCCCGAGUAUUUGGUCAAUGCAACCAUCAUCCCUCCUUGAAUCACGCUCAUCCCCAUCUGCUUCGGCAAGCCCAACGGAUUCCCUGCUGAGUGGUGUUCCCCAGCAGAAGCGUGAGUGUCUCAUGUGUGGCGAUAAGGAAGUUACGGGAGCCCUCGUACCGUGUGGGCACAAUAUGUUCUGCCUCGAGUGCGCCAAUCGUAUUUGUGCCCCCGGGGAUGCCCUCUGCCCCGUUUGUAGUCAGGUUGUGAGUCAGGCCAUUCGGAUUAUUGCCUAAAAAGGAAGCAAAAAAAUUAAAUUUGGGGUGCGCCACACAGCCUAAAGAGCCCCCAAAGAAUGUGGUUUCAGCCGAUCUCUCUCUAUCUCUAUUUUUUGGGACAAAGCUAAUCUCUCUCUGGAAGAUUUGAUGCUUACUCCCCAAAAAAUAAAAAAAAAAUGAAAAUCCGGACAACGAAUUCCCCAAACAGAAGAAAACAAAAUGGUCUGAUUCCCCAUCCCCUUAAAAAAAAUCCCCGAAGGACGCAAUCAAAGGUUCCACCGUAGGAUCGUACGUACACUACGAAAACCUUCUGACUUUGAGAGAUUAAAAGAAAGUAAAAAAAAAAUGGAGGAAAACAGGGAUUAUCAGUUCACGCGGAUAAAAUGCAAAAAUAAAAAAAUCCUGUGGACGUAAUGCAAAUUAUUUAAGAAAAAAAAUGACAAAAAAUUGAUUAAAUAAAUUCAAUGGGGCUGUGAAAAAAAAUAAAUUUGCAAACUAAUUAAAAGAAAAAUUACUGCCACUUCCCGAAAUGCAAAAGAGAAUAAAAUUUCCUUUUGUUGGUUAAUUCCCAUCUCUAGAAACAUCAUCACAGGAGCAGAAGACAUUCAUUCCAUCUCAUACGCCAUUCUUUUUUAUUUAUCACAUUGCAUCGUCACUCUCUGUAUCGCGGAGAAGCAUAAUCGUGUAGGAGGCAUAAACACAUUAAUGUCGGGGGUAUGAAGCAUAUGCAUUUUGCACUUGUAGAGACACUACACGCAUUUUCUCAUUGGCCUCAAGAUUCGAACGAUUCAUAAUUAGUGCGUGGACACAUAAAAGACGUUAGAAUAUAUUUUUUUUAUUUUUAAUAAUUUUCUUAGCCCUAUUAUUAUUAUUUUUUUUUCAAUUUGAAAAUCGUUCAUUUUUUUUUCUUGACAUAGAGUGCCAGUACAGUGAGAUAUAUAUUAUAGAUGUAAUAUCAUUAAAGAAAGAAAAGAAAAAACGUAAAUUUUAAGCAUAAGAAUAUAAGGAAGAAAAUUAUAUCAAGAGAAAAAGGAUAUAUGUUUUUAUUAUUGCCAGAUGUAUUUAAUAAAUAUAAAUGAAAAAGUAAAAGAGAAAUGAAGAAUGCAAAAUAUUAAAGAAAAAAUAAAACGAAUUUGUUAAGUUCUCGUCAAACUCUCACAAAAUAUUUAAAUGAUUAAACAUAAGUUUUUAUUGACACAGCAAUUUGCAGCAAAAAAAAAAGAAUUUUUGAAAAGACUCUCUUUAUUAUAAAAUACAAGUUUUUUAGUAUUAAUUUUUUAUUUUAUCAAUUUAUUUUUAUUGAAGUUUGUUCGGAUUUUGUUAAAUCCAUUUCUUGAGUAUAAAUUUUAUUUUUGUCUCGCAUUUUUUUUCUAAGUACCUAUCGUUUAAUUAAAAAAAAAACAAAAUAAUUAAAUAAUAUAUCAGCACGUAUCCUAGAGUUUUGCGUAGAAAAAGAAAUUUAUAUAUUGAUGAAUUUAAAAAUUAAAUUAUUUCAAAGAUUAUUCACAAAUUAAACUUAAAAAAAUAAACAUAAAAUGAAGAAUUAUUUAAAAGAGAAAAAAAACUUAGAGAUAUAUUGAAUUUAAAUUGUUAAAUAAAUUAUUUUCUAUUUGUUUUUUUGUGAAGAAGAAAAAAAGAAAUAAUAUAUUAUUUUUCCAUUGCCUUUUUUAUAGUCUAUUGCGCAAACAAUUUAUCAUUAAAUACAUUAUAAGAUUAUAUAUGUAAUAUAUUAUUAAAAUAUAUUUUUAUUUUUAUUUUUUGCCCAAUCCCAGUAUUAAGUUGAACGUACUCGAAAACAAAAUAAAAAACAAGAAUUUAUAAAUAAGAAAAUUUAUCAAAGGGUUGUUUUGGGGAGGAUUUUUCUUCUGAGCAUUGAAGUUUGCAGAAUUUCUGAAAAAUUAUUCAAAUAAUAGAUUUUUCAGGACCUAAUUGGUUUUUUUUAAUUUAAAAUUAUGUAGAUUUUUUAACCCUUCUACAACUCUCUUACAAUUUAAAGAAUUAUUAAACAUUAGGUUAUAUACUGCGUCAAAGAAAUCUUUUAAAUACCAAGAAUUCGUAGUCCCGAAAGGGUUAAAAAAAAGCCAAUCAUUUAUUUCUGUUUAAAAAUUCUGCAUUCUAAAAAUGUUUAAAGAAUCAAAAACUCUUCACAACAAUUCAACUUUUAAGCGACUUUCUGUGACCUAAAUUAUUAUUAAUUAUUAUUAUUAUUUUCUGUAUUCUAAAUUGAAAAGAAUAAUCCUCCGUUGAUUCAAAACCAAUGUUUUCUUUAACAUUAAAAAAUAAAUGAAUAAUUUUCCGAAAUGGAACCAAAAAAAAUGAAGUGAAAAACAAUUGAUUAAAAAAAAUUAUUUAAAAAGAAAAAGAAAUUGCAAAGAAAAUUAGAGAAUGGAUAAAUAGUCAAAGAAAAGUCAGCAAGUUUGAAAGCAAAAAUUUAUAUUUAAAGAACAAAAAAAAAUGUAUUUAAAUAUUACAAAAGAAAUAUAUUUAAAAAUGAAAUGAUUGAGAUGAAAAUAAUGAGAUAAUGAGGUUGUGACAUUCUGUUGUGUUGGUCUCAUUAGGUAAGCAUGAUAAAAGGAUAAAAUCAUAAAUAGCAUUGUGCAUAAAGGUAGCAGGGAUGGAGCAUUUACAAGUAAAACAAAAGAAUCAUUUAAAAAGAGAGAAAAACAAGGCUAAAACUUAAGGAUUCUUCUCCUUAAAGUAAAACCCCUGAAAAAUCCUUUGAGAAAAUGAAAAGAUUUUCAAACACCAUCACUGCUAUCUUGCGCUGAAAAAAAUCCAUUUUGCAAAUGACUUUCAAAAGAAUAUUAAAUGUGAAGAGAAAUAAAAACAGAAAUAUAACUUUCAAACAUUAAAUAUAGAAGAGAAAAAUAUAAAUUUUAUAACAAGAAGAAAAUGAGAUUUUUACAUUCUAAUCGAAUUGCAUGGAUUUGUCUUUUAAUCAUUACAUCACAGAAUUAUAAGAAAAACUAAACUUCUCUUAAUCAUUAAUACAUUUAUACUUCGACUUUAUCUAAUGGGGAUCAGCUUAGAAUGAGCGGAAAUUAAGUAAUAUGUGUAUAUCCGUCAGAUCCUAAAGAGAUGAUUUUUCUUUCAAAAUAAAAAUAAAACUCAAUGAAAAAUCAUCUCAAAAGAGAUUUGAAAGAAGAAAAAAAAGUGAACAAAAAUGCAACAUUUUGACUUAAAAUAAAUUGCCCGCAAAAAAGAAGAAAAAUUUGUGUAGUCCUUAGAUAAAGAAAAAAACAACACCAAAAGAUAUAGAUGAGAAACAAGUGAAUAAAAUAUUAACUAUAUGAAUAAAAAAAAAAGAAAUUAGAAAAUAAAAAGCGAUGUAAAUAGAGAGAUAAAAUGAAAUAAAAAAAAGCAAAAAGACUUCUUGACUGACUGAUUUCGCGGUAGUUAGAAACGUAAAACAAUAUUUAUAUACCUAAAUGAAGAAAUAAAUGAUAAAAAAUAUAAAAUAUAAAAAAUAGAUAAACGUUAAAGAGAUAAAAGGAUGAAAGGAAAAAAAAGUAACUUAAUCCGACACAAGGAGAUAAAAAAAAUGAGAUUCUAUAUAGCAAGAUCGUAAAAUAUAGAUAAAAUAAAAGGAGAAGAAAUAACAUUAAGAAAAUGAACUAAAAAAAUAUUAGAGAGAAAAUAAAAAUAUAUAUUAUAUUAUAAAGAUGAUCUAACAUUUAUAGAGUGAAGAAAAAGAAGGGAGAUAAAUGAAGAAAAUCUAUAGCAUAAACAAUAUUAAAAAAAUAAUCUUACCAAAAUAUAUAUUAUAUAUUAUAUUAAUAUUUUAAAUAUUAUAUUAAAAAAAAACAUAAACUUAUACAUUUAAACAGAAAAAAAAUCACUAUGAAGAAAUAUUAUAUAAAUGAAAUAUAUUAUGAUAGAGCAGAUUAUAUAAGACAAAAAAAACUUAUAAACUAGAGAAAUGAUAAAAAAAGAAUAUUUUUAUUGUCUUCCGAGAAGAGACACGAGUCACAAGAUUUAAAAGAAAAAUUAAAUUGAUAAAGUAAUUUAAAGUAAAAAGGAAAAGAAAAAAGAUAAAUAAAAUAUAACUUAGGACACAUUCAUUGGCACUUCGUGGUUGUGAAAAUUGGCGGCAUUUCUCUUAAAAAAAAAACCUUCAAACCAAGAUAAACAAUGCAUUAAUACUAAAAAAAAACAAGCGUUGCCCCCAUUGAGAAUUAAAAAAAAAUCAUUGAGCACCGGAUUUUUUAGAAAUCUAUUUAAAGGAGUCUACCGGCUCUCUAUGCAAAAACUUCCUUAUUCAUAAAAAAAUUUAACCCAUUUUGUCUUUAACAGAACCAAAAACUAUUAAGAAAUCGCUAAAGAAACUCCCCAAUUUCCUCUAGGAUCACAUAGAGAAUAGACGACAAAGAUUGCCAAAAACAUUGCGAAGCCAUUUGCAAUUUUUUUUAUCCCUUUAAAAGUUUGUGAAUGAGGGGUUUUUUUCUAUAUGUGUAGAGCCGAUAAUCUCCUUUAAUAAUUAUUGGACAACCCUAAUAUUCCUCUCAAUCUAAGAUUUAUCAAGAAAUCGAUAUAAUAAUUUCUUUUCCCUCAAAGAUUUAAAGAAAGACUAAAAAUAUUUUAUUUCCCAACAAGGUAAAGCAAGACUGUUAAAUAAAAUGGGUGAAGGGUGGAUAAGUUCUAUAAAUGAAUGACCUUUGACCACGUUGGGAAAUUCAAUAUUCUUUAACCUUUUCCUACAACUUUUCAUGGGGUCAUGGUGGGUCAGUCUGCUGGCGCUCUGAACUGAUCAUACCCAAACCGUGACGAAGCGGGUUCGAUUCCCAGCUGGGUAGAAAUCAUCAUCUACCUUUCCCUGGCCUAGCGUUUCCUACACCGAAUUUCCUUUCCAUUCCCUCCCCUUUCAAACAAAAUAAUCAUACAAUGCAAAACAGAAGUCAUUUACUCAAAAUGUCUAAAAGUAUUAAUUCAAAACAUAAACGUUAACUUCAGUCAAAAAGUUUUAACAAAUAACAGUCCUGUUAAAUUCCUAACCCCUCCCCUUUCCUAAUCUGGCUGAUGUACUGUUUCAAGAAUCAAAGUAACAUUAACAAAAUUUCAAGCAGAAUCUUUUCAGACAAAUAAUUUCAAAAUGUUCAAAAUAUUCAAUUACAACUGACAGUUAAAUUUAAACUAAAUUUGAGGUUAUGAUGGGAAUAUUGAGGGGGGCAAAAUCAAUAAUAUAAGCCGGGGAAAAAAACAAAUUACGAUCUUUAAAAAAAAAUCAGCCCGAUAUUGACAUAAACUAAUGAUGCUUGUUUGUAUUGACGUUUUCCAUCUACCAUCAGUCAAGGCAUCACAUUUCUAACAUCAGAAUUUACAAUUGGAUGCGCAAAAUGUGACAAAGUGAAAUUAACAUCAAAAUUGCAAAUAACAUCCUGCAAAAACAAGUGAAAUUAACAUCUAGAGUACAAAUAACAUCGUACUAAAAAAAAUCUUUAUAAGUAUAUUUUAAGGCAAAUUUAAUCCUUAUACCUGUGAAGCUUACAUACAUGUUUCUGAAGUAUUGUGAACAUAAGGGCGUACAGUGUUCCGUUUCAAUGAUGAAGUAUUCAGACCCAUUUUUCAGACUAUCACAAAACAUAAUCUCAAAUCGGACUUUCAUUAGUUUUUCUUUCACCUAUUACAUAGAUUAUAUAAACUUUUAUUAACUUUUUGUAGUUCCAAGGGAAAAUACCCGCUAAAAUGACACAUGCAUAAAUAAAAAAAAUAAUAUGUUAAAGGAAGACUAAGGAAGGUCUGUUUAGGGGUUUCCCUCCAAAAAAUAUAACCUCAAAUUUGGUUUGUUUAAAGUUUAGUCUUUUUGAAAGUUUUCAUACCCUUUACCGAGUAAUUUUUGGUUGAGAAACUCUUUUUACAAUUCAUUCAAACGAAUCGAAUAGUUUUUGGGUCGUAGUAUUCGAUUAAUUAUCAUCCCCUUGCAAAUGAAAUAAAAUCAAUAUUAUUUCUGAUUAAUUCCCAAUCAAACUCACGGUCCAUUUGCAAAUUAUUUCCAUUGAAAUUUUCAUUUAAUUUCCCAUGUGAAUGAAAUUAAUUUUUAUGAAGUUUUAUGCAGAAAAUUAUGCAAAAACUUUCAAGAGAAAAAUUGAAAAAUUUUUAUAAAUAAAAAAUGAAACUUUAGAAAUUUUUUUAUAUUUUAUUCCACGAAUAUCCUUGGAGCUCAAUUGAAAAUAAAAUAGUGGGUGGUGGGCAAUGCCUGUUUGGGGAGGAAUUUUCUUUCAAAGCAAUUGCGACAAUCUCAUCAAUCUAAAAGGGGCUUGAAUUACAUCUUCAAAAUAAAAAUAAUUUCUCCUUAGCAAAUAAAAUAACUGAAAAAACCACCUUCACACCUUAAAAUAAAAAAAAAGCCAACCUCUCAAGAAAAUAAAGAAAUUCAAAAGGAAAAAGAAA
Molecule: RNA transcript, 8326 nt
Organism: Lutzomyia longipalpis
Lineage: Eukaryota; Metazoa; Arthropoda; Insecta; Diptera; Psychodidae
Gene name: RNA-binding protein MEX3B
Exons: 4
Source: RefSeq, a predicted model, not a curated record